GUGACAGAAAGCCAUGCGCUCUGGGCUAUGUGACCACACUGUUUCUUGUGCAUGCAGGAAACCUCCGAAUAUCUACUGUGAUCUUCUCUCACACCACCCACAAGUCCAAGUUCUCCAGCUGGACCUGUCCUCCACAUGGUUACCCCAGUUCCCAAUGCCGAGCACCUCCUUUACCUCCUGCUCCUCGCAUGAGCCCAGUGGGUGGUGUGACGUCAGGUUUUUGUGGCGGGCUGGUAAUGACAGGUCCAGACAAUCAGCGUGUUUGCAACCGUCAGAUCUUUGUUUCUGGUCAGGGUUUUAAAGGAAGAUAUUUUUAUGGUAAUUGUCGCUGGUCUAUUUUACUAUAUAUUUAUGUAAUAAAUCUGUUACUGAUCCAGUUCUCACUGGUACUUUUGUCUGUUGUUGGCUCUUUAUUCACCGAGCAGCUACAUCAUGUGCUGGAGGUUGUCUUCAACGAAUGAAAUAAAAAAAAAGUAAAC
Molecule: long non-coding RNA, 479 nt
Organism: Thalassophryne amazonica
Lineage: Eukaryota; Metazoa; Chordata; Actinopteri; Batrachoidiformes; Batrachoididae
Exons: 3
Source: RefSeq, a predicted model, not a curated record